GGGGAAGGAACCUUCUAGCCUUUCACCAGCUGGCAUAGAAGACUUCGCCUCCCUUCCCUGUCCCCGCGCCUGUCAACACGUCUGAUGAUAACACUAAGGCCACAGGCAAAGCAGUCAGAGGGAAAAGCAGGCUUCCUGCUGAGUAAAGAUGCUGUGCUGGACUCGAUCCCAGGACCCUGGGAUUGUGACCUGAGCUGAAGGCAGACACUUAACCCACUGAGCCACCCAGGCACUCCAGGACUCUGUUGGGUCUACGUUCUUGCUCCUCAAAGUGCGGGCCACAGAUCAGAAGCACCUGUCGUGUAUGGAACUGGUUAGAAAUGCAGAAUCUGGGGCCUCACCUGAGACCCUCUGGAAUCAGAAUCUACCUCAUAACAAAAU
Molecule: long non-coding RNA, 381 nt
Filed under: Mustela putorius furo (domestic ferret)
Lineage: Eukaryota; Metazoa; Chordata; Mammalia; Carnivora; Mustelidae
Description: lncRNA (ENSMPUG00000029358.1)
Source: RNAcentral